AAGAGGUACAGAGUGGAAAGCUUGUGAACAGCAGAAUGGUGGUUGUAAGAUUUACUGAGCAGGAGGCCAGUGUCCCAUCCAUGAUUGCCAAAGUAAAAGAUGCCUUAGGAAGCAAUGAACAACUCAUCCUGACAGACCACAAUGGAGUGGAAAUAUUGGACUCAGAAGGAACAAGAGGCACCUUUUAUUGGAAGCAGAUCUCAUGAAAAAUCAUGGCUGUACCAGAGGUUGAUUUCCAAGCUGUGCAACAAAAGAGGCAAAGAAUCUCACGCAGAGAUGACGAGGGUGGACUGGACAGUGUGUUCGAGAAGAUCGAGGAGCUUGUCCUGGCUGCUCAGGGUUUGUCUGAGGUGACAACUGCCAUUCAGGGACUCUCUGACGUGGUCCAUCGAAACAGGAAUACAACAUUGGUACUGACUGAUGAACAGUCCAGGAAUGUUAGGGAUACAUUCACUUGUCUGGUUUGCAGGGGUAAGUCUUGUCCUUAGGAAGACAAAAAAUUAUGUAUUAACCCUGACAAACAUAUUGUUGUUGUUUGGUGGAAUUUAUGAUGUAG
Molecule: long non-coding RNA, 556 nt
Organism: Carassius carassius (crucian carp)
Lineage: Eukaryota; Metazoa; Chordata; Actinopteri; Cypriniformes; Cyprinidae
Exons: 3
Source: RefSeq, a predicted model, not a curated record